Molecule: transfer RNA, 73 nt
Filed under: Methanosarcina sp.
Lineage: Archaea; Methanobacteriati; Methanobacteriota; Methanomicrobia; Methanosarcinales; Methanosarcinaceae
Also listed under: 4 other names
Description: tRNA-Thr
Rfam family: tRNA
About the family: Transfer RNA (tRNA) molecules are approximately 80 nucleotides in length. Their secondary structure includes four short double-helical elements and three loops (D, anti-codon, and T loops). Further hydrogen bonds mediate the characteristic L-shaped molecular structure. tRNAs have two regions of fundamental functional importance: the anti-codon, which is responsible for specific mRNA codon recognition, and the 3' end, to which the tRNAs corresponding amino acid is attached (by aminoacyl-tRNA synthetases). tRNAs cope with the degeneracy of the genetic code in two manners: having more than one tRNA (with a specific anti-codon) for a particular amino acid; and 'wobble' base-pairing, i.e. permitting non-standard base-pairing at the 3rd anti-codon position.
Source: RNAcentral
GCCCUCAUAGCUCAGUUGGUAGAGCGCGUUCUUGGUAAGAACGAGGUCAUGGGUUCGAAUCCCAUUGAGGGCU